RNAcentral lists this ribosomal RNA (233 nucleotides) under uncultured bacterium. RNAcentral describes it as "partial 16S ribosomal RNA". It matches the Rfam family "Bacterial small subunit ribosomal RNA", at positions 977 to 1208 of the family's 1533-position model. The record is from RNAcentral.
AGCCCUUGACAUGGUCGGACGGUUUCCAGAGAUGGAUUCCUUCACUUCGGUGACUGACACACAGGUGCUGCAUGGCUGUCGUCAGCUCGUGUCGUGAGAUGUUGGGUUAAGUCCCGCAACGAGCGCAACCCUCGCCUUUAGUUGCCAUCAUUUAGUUGGGCACUCUAGAGGGACUGCCGGUGAUAAGCCGGAGGAAGGUGGGGAUGACGUCAAGUCUUCAUGGCCCUUACGGG